AUUGAACGCUGGCGGCAGGCUUAACACAUGCAAGUCGAGCGGUAGCACAGGAGAGCUUGCUCUCUGGGUGACGAGCGGCGGACGGGUGAGUAAUGUCUGGGAAACUGCCUGAUGGAGGGGGAUAACUACUGGAAACGGUAGCUAAUACCGCAUAACGUCGCAAGACCAAAGAGGGGGACCUUCGGGCCUCUUGCCAUCAGAUGUGCCCAGAUGGGAUUAGCUAGUAGGUGGGGUAAUGGCUCACCUAGGCGACGAUCCCUAGCUGGUCUGAGAGGAUGACCAGCCACACUGGAACUGAGACACGGUCCAGACUCCUACGGGAGGCAGCAGUGGGGAAUAUUGCACAAUGGGCGCAAGCCUGAUGCAGCCAUGCCGCGUGUGUGAAGAAGGCCUUCGGGUUGUAAAGCACUUUCAGCGAGGAGGAAGGUGGUGAGCUUAAUACGCUCAUCAAUUGACGUUACUCGCAGAAGAAGCACCGGCUAACUCCGUGCCAGCAGCCGCGGUAAUACGGAGGGUGCAAGCGUUAAUCGGAAUUACUGGGCGUAAAGCGCACGCAGGCGGUUUGUUAAGUCAGAUGUGAAAUCCCCGGGCUCAAC
Molecule: ribosomal RNA, 596 nt
Filed under: uncultured Serratia sp.
Lineage: Bacteria; Pseudomonadati; Pseudomonadota; Gammaproteobacteria; Enterobacterales; Yersiniaceae
Description: bacterial SSU rRNA
Rfam family: Bacterial small subunit ribosomal RNA
Source: RNAcentral